CCUACGGGAGGCAGCAGUGGGGAAUAUUGGACAAUGGGCGCAAGCCUGAUCCAGCCAUACCGCGUGGGUGAAGAAGGCCUUCGGGUUGUAAAGCCCUUUUGUUGGGAAAGAAAAGCAGUCGAUUAAUACUCGGUUGUUCUGACGGUACCCAAAGAAUAAGCACCGGCUAACUUCGUGCCAGCAGCCGCGGUAAUACGAAGGGUGCAAGCGUUACUCGGAAUUACUGGGCGUAAAGCGUGCGUAGGUGGUUGUUUAAGUCUGUUGUGAAAGCCCUGGGCUCAACCUGGGAAUUGCAGUGGAUACUGGGCGACUAGAGUGUGGUAGAGGGUAGUGGAAUUCCCGGUGUAGCAGUGAAAUGCGUAGAGAUCGGGAGGAACAUCCAUGGCGAAGGCAGCUACCUGGACCAACACUGACACUGAGGCACGAAAGCGUGGGGAGCAAACAGGAUUAGAUACCCUGGUAGUCCACGCCCUAAACGAUGCGAACUGGAUGUUGGGUGCAAUUUGGCACGCAGUAUCGAAGCUAACGCGUUAAGUUCGCCGCCUGGGGAGUACGGUCGCAAGACUUGAAACUCAAAGGAAAUUGACGG
This 589-nucleotide ribosomal RNA is filed under the name uncultured bacterium. Its description in RNAcentral is "bacterial SSU rRNA". It matches the Rfam family "Bacterial small subunit ribosomal RNA", at positions 338 to 916 of the family's 1533-position model. The record is from RNAcentral.